Long non-coding RNA from Vidua macroura (Pin-tailed whydah), 1702 nucleotides. RefSeq lists it as uncharacterized. Lineage: Eukaryota; Metazoa; Chordata; Aves; Passeriformes; Viduidae. The record is from RefSeq and is a predicted model, not a curated record. The transcript has 4 exons.
GCUGAGAGGAAGAGAAGGGACGAGAAAGGCACACUUUGCUUGCAGGCCUGAGAGCUUUUAUUCCAUGCGUGGUCGCAGCAAUGGUCGGAGUGACCGCUCCCAGCGCGAUGCAAGGCAAAAUGGCGACAGGACAAAGAAAGCAUUAAGUUAAGUAGGGGGUGGGCGGAUAGAGGUGGAAACCCCCCUCGCACAAUAGGGACAGACAGCAGGGGAGUGACAUAGAACUUAACAACCUAUGGGAACAUAACAGAGGUGGGUACAGUGUUCUGGGACAAAUAGGAUUGCAAAGGUGGGGUGAUUGAUACAGAACUUUCAAGAAGAAUCAGGGAGUGGCUACAAGAUUGACAUGUAAGAGCUCCUGUGGAUGGUCAGCAGAAAGUUUCUUCACUUGUGUCACCAUAACAAGUUAUGACUGUGUUACUUAAUCUCGAAUAAUGUAAAUUUCAUUGCAUGUUAUGAGCACCUGAAAAGUGCAAAAGCAUUUCCCUUUUAUAUAAAAAAAGGAAGCAGUCCUGUUCUCAUUACAAAUAUUCUUUCAUACUUUAUCACUUCAAGGACUCCUUGUAUUUCUUCCCUGUCAUUUUGGGCUGGCAUGAUGAUCACAGACUUAAUCACGUCAAAAACAAACUCAUAACCUUUUAUCACUUGCAAUGUUUUCCACGUUCAUUAGUCCCAGGAAUCUGCAUGCUUGAUUGUUUAAUUUGAAAUCUGUUGCUGUUUUUCUCCAAAGCUUUCCAGAGAUAUAGGUGAUAUUCUUUUGCUUUUUUUUCCCCUCUAUAUCAAAACAUGAGAUUUCUAACUCUUAGAAUAUUCUGUGACAUUAGAAUCAAAAUACAGUAAAUUAACUAAGGUAGGCUUUUUCCUUAAAAAUAUCUACUGGAAAAAUUUUUGAAAUAUAUAAUAAAAAUAAUUAUUGGGUUGUCUAAAUACUUCAGCAUUGUUUUCUUUUUACUUUUCUAAAAGACUCAUGUAAUUCUUUUUAGCUAUAUUUCAGUAAAAAGUUGUGACCUCUUUUUCUAUUUAAUGAACACUGAGUGUACUCAGUGGCCAUUCUGUGACUGUAUGAUCUUAGAACAAUGAGAUGGAUUCAUUCUUAAUCGACCUUUAUUAAAUUUGAGCUUUUCUUUGUUCCUUGAAAGAGAAUGUCAAACUUCUAGAAUUGUUUUAGUCUCUCCAACCUCUAAUAAAUGCAGUAUUGCCAUAAUGAUAGAGUUCCACAUGGAUAGUUUUAAAGUAUACUUUUACAUCUGCAUCUUUUAUUCAUUAGCCAAAAUCCACUUCAUUUCAUUUAAGAUAAUUAUAAUCAAUAGCUAUGACCUUUUAUGGAACCAGAUGUUGGAAACAGUAACUUCCCCCACCCCAAAUUCAGCCACCUGUCACUAUCCAAAGCGCUGAGAACACGUGUAUGUGCCCAUAUGGAUGAAGAAUCUUUGCUAGUUACUGUUUUUUUUACUGUUUUUGAAGAUAUGUAUCUCUGUGAGAGAGAUGCACUCCAGAGAAGCAGAUAGGCAAUGCUGUAAGCAAGGAUCAGAUGUAUUUUAAACAAAUCCUGGAAGUGCAUCUUGAAGAAAAGUGUGUCAAAACAUUGGUUAUUGGUCUGUGCUGUUGCAGAAGAAUGUUCCAGCUACAAAACACAGACAGGAGCACGUGAAUUAUGACAAGUUAUUUUUGUUAUACAAUCUUUUUCCAUAAUAAACAUAAG